RNAcentral lists this long non-coding RNA (674 nucleotides) under Pogona vitticeps (central bearded dragon). Its description in RNAcentral is "lncRNA (ENSPVIG00000000966.1)". Lineage: Eukaryota; Metazoa; Chordata; Lepidosauria; Squamata; Agamidae. The record is from RNAcentral.
UUGCCAUGUCAGAGGACCAGGAGCCUGUGGCCACAGAGGCACUUCUGCCAGCCACAGAGGAGGAGUCUUACAUGCACUCCCUCUUGUCCUGGGGAAGACCUUGUUUGCUGGGCUGCCCAUUUCUGGCAUCGUUCUUGGAGCCGUUUAUCUUGACCAAUGUCCACGACAGCCUCUCGUUCCUAUCUACUUAAUGCUUCUAAGCAUUGUUGUGCUCCUCCUUCUCGGCCUCAGCUGCGUUCCGUGUGGGACUGGCACAGAUCAGCAAAGCGCCUUGACCCGCCACCUCCGGGCCGUCACCCUUCUCUUCCUCUGUGCCUGGUUCAUUGCAGGCAGCGUGUGGGUCUACUCCAUUUAUCCCCCUGACUACGAGUCUGUUGGACAGCCGAGCUUCUGCCACCGCACCCUCUUCCUUUUCGCCUUUGGGGUCACUACCACCCUUCAUGUGGCUUUGGCACUGGCACUUCUGCUUGCCCUCAGCAUCCUUGUGGGCAUCUUCAUUUUCAAGGCUGUCUUACCCUAUGGUGGACAUGGCAGUCGUGGGGGCCCAUAGCAGCUAAUGUGCAACAUGGGUGGGUAGUCGUUGGCGGUGUUUUUUUGUUGGUUUUUUUUCUUUUUUGGUACUGAUGCUGGGGCAUUUUGUCAAUAAAGUGGAUUGUGCUGCACGGAAUGUUCCA